Molecule: RNA transcript, 3744 nt
Organism: Tigriopus californicus
Lineage: Eukaryota; Metazoa; Arthropoda; Copepoda; Harpacticoida; Harpacticidae
Exons: 2
Source: RefSeq, a predicted model, not a curated record
CAAGUUUACAGUACAUAAGGGAUUUGCCGACAUUAGCUUGAGAUUUAUGUACAGGUCUGAAGGUUUUUUCCUUCUAGUCCAGAGUAUGAUGCAAAAAGGAUUGGAAGCACGAAAGCCCAUGACAAGCAUUGAAUUUAUUGCCCUCCCAAACAUCAUGCUAAUGAGAGAACGCAAUCAAUCUCGACCUGCAGACCAAAACUCGAAUUCGACGACCAGUAUUGAUUUUGGACUCGACGGGAGUAAUCAAGUGCAAGAGUGGUUUGCGUUCCUUCAGGUUAUGACGUGAAGAAGCGUUUCUGGAAGUGAGAUUGGUGCGACCAACAGGAUUUUCCUCUGGAUGAGUUCCAGUUGUAAGUGUGUUGGAAUUGUGCUCCAUAAAGUGAUCCUACAACCUUUUUGGGUCGUGCCUAUACCCCACCCGUUCCCCCUCGGCGUAAGAUCAUUCUUAUUUUCAAUCAUAUUUCUACAAUACUUUGGACCAUCUCAAUAUAUAUCUAUAUAUCAAGAAGCAAAUGCGAGAUGGUUUCCGUCUACCUUAUUUAGCUAGCGACCAAGGAACUCCCCUCAUUGAAGAAAUACAGUUCACUUGCCAGAGGAGAAAUCCUCACACCAUUUUUGGUCCUUCGAGCCGGAUCGCGCAGCAAGGCCUGGGGCGUCUGAGGUCGCGAAGCUCUUCAGAUUUCCAGUUCCAAUUGACAAAAGAAACCAUGGCCGACGAGGACGUUCGGCCAAUUGGUCUUGACCAGCCAGACCUUGCUCUACCAACUAGGAGCACGUCUGCGGGUGGUAUUGACCCAACGAUACGCAAAUCCAUGUCUUCAAAGAAAAGGAUGCUGACCCUGCAGAUUAAUGCCAUCAGAGCAAGGCUUGGUGAUCAUCUCAAAACGUCGAGGACGAGAAUUAAGCUGGAUUUGGAAGCCGUGGAGAAGACCUUGGGGAGUCUACAAGCCGUACUUCAAGAAUAUAUGGACAAUGGAUUGGACGAAGAGGUUCAGGAUCAAAUCACGGCAUACUUGUUCACAGAAGAACAACGUGUGCGGGAUCUCCAAGCUGAUGUCAGCGACCACCUUGACGGGAGAUUGGAUGAGCCUCCAUCCAUCUGUGGGUCAGAGGAUGGGGAUAAUAUUGGGAGAGUAAUGAGUGGAGGAGAGAUUAACCCACCGCCUGCCCCGAGAAGAACUAAUACAGAGGUUGAAGGCGUGGGUUCCACAUUAGGUGAAAUCAUUGGACGUACGAAUCGGCAAGACUUCUGGGCAAGUGAGGAAUAUGAUCCUGAAGUAUCCUUCCGCCCUCAGAGGCGAGAUGGCGAUUGGGAGAACAGAAAAGCGUCAAGCCUUCCCUUAAGACCUGGGGCCCAGUCAGUUGACCCCAAUAGGUCUGGGGGACACUGGAUGGAAAAUCCUACAACUGAAGUACCCUGGGGCAUGAAUGGGGCACGAGCUACCUUGGACCUUAAGAUGCCAAAAUUCAAUGGAAAUAUGGUCGAGUUCCAUGAAUGGGCUAAUAUGUUCCAGGCGUUGGUCCAUAAUUCUUCAAAGUCUGUACCCGAGAAGAUGGGGAUGUUAAAGGCCUCACUGGGAGAGUCACCAAGACGGUUAAUCUAUGGGUUUGGGAACUCUGAGAGCCACUACAAGGCCGCUCUGAAAACAUUGUUCAAGGUAUUUGGUGGAGAGGAACUUGUUGUGGAAGCCCACACGCAAGAAAUCGAGAACCUGCCUAGAGUAAAACCGAGGGAUCACCAAAGCUUGGAGAACCUAGCUUUCAACUUACAGGGGCACCUGCUCAUCAUUCAAGAGAGAGUGGGACCAGGGGACACUCUCUGGGGUCAAAUCGUGCGCUGUGUAGAGCGUAAGCUUGACAAAGAAACCUUUAAUGCAUGGGACCAACUGAGCAGAGAGAUUCCAAGGGAGAAAAAAUUGACCAAACUGAGUGAUUGGUUACUGGAGUUGUCCCAGAGAGAUAGGAGAUAUUUUGGACAAUCUUGGGAGUUAAGGACCAGGACUGCAUUGACCAAUACAACUGCAUUGGGGCAAGGGUGCCCAAUCUGCUCAGAGUUCCACAAUACCUCCAGUUGUGACACCUUUAUGAACUCCACGGUCGGACAAAGAUAUGACUUGGCAAUCGAGAAAAGGCUCUGCUUUUCAUGCCUUGGAGUGGGGCACGUUAGCCAAGACUGCAAGAGCAGGAAGCUUUGCGGAAAGGAUGGAUGCAAGAGCUCUCAUCAUGAAAUGUUCCAUAGAAGCCGUGGAACAUCAUCCAACCUUACACGUCCAAGUUGUGGUUUAGCCUCUUCCGCCACCAACGCAACUGAGGUAGGAGGUGUCGUCCUUCUUGGUAUCAUUGCCGUGACUUUGGAGGGUCCCCGUGGCCAGAUUGUGGUUAACGCCCUAAUUGACGAAGGAUCUGAUACGUCAUUCAUGAGUGAACGAGUAUUGAAGAGACUUGGAGGCCAAAAAAGGAAGGAGAAACCCAUGUUUGUUCAUGGUGCAGUUGGUUCGUCAACUAUCAAGUCUGGAAACUACAACUUGAAGAUUUUGUAUGCCGACAAAAGUGGAGGGCUUGAUCUCAACAUGAAGGUUAUCCCUAAAGUCUGCGGGACGCUUAAGGGCAAUGAUUGGGCCCAAUUGAAGGGUCACUGGAAGCAUCUUUGAGAUCUCCCAAUAAAGGGAGACAAUUCACCUGUGGAAAUUCUUUUAGGAUUAGACGCAGGAAUGCUUAUUGAACCCCGGGAAGUAAUACGUGGAAAUCCGUCAGAACCAUACGCCCUCCGAACACUUCUAGGCUGGAUUUGCCGUGGCAAAACUGAUCCCCGAAUUGAACUUGGACUGGAGACAGAGUCCAGGGUGAACCAUGCCAUGGUGGAAGUUCCUCUAAAUGAGGCUGUAUCUCAAUUCUACCACACAGAGAGUUAUGGCGCUGAAGGAAAAGAAGUUGAGGGCCCAUCCUUCAGUAUCCAAGAUCAAUAUGCCUUGAAACUCAUCAAAGAGGGUACAAAAAGACUGGAAUCUCAAACUGGAUAUGAAGUCAGCCUCCCCUGGAUCCCUGGAGAAGCAAAACCAUGGAAUAAUAGGUCGCAAGCUUUAAAAAGGCUCGAGGGUCUGGAGAGGAAGUUCCUCAGGGACCCUAAAUUCCAGGAGGCCUACGUGAAGGCAAUGGGGAAGACAAUUCAUGAAGGAUAUGCAAGGCUAGUCCCAUCAAGUGAACUGUCAAUGGAGGAGCAAGGCUUUCUUCCCCAUCAUGGGGUGUGGAAAAAAAAUGGAUCUGAUGUGAGAGUCGUGUUUGACUCAGCAUCAAAGUACAGAGGGAAGUGCUUAAACGACUGCCUCUUGACAGGUCCCAACCUACAAAACGAACUCUUUGACGUGCUGGUUAGGUUCAGGGAGCAUGAAAUAGCCCUAACUGCCGAUAUUGAAGCCAUGUUCAGUAGGAUCAGAGUGAAGAAAGAGGAUGCUGCCUACCAUCGAUUUCUGUGGCGUGAGUCCAGUUCCGAGGAGGUUCAGGUCUGGGAAAUGACUGGUGUAGUCUUUGGUGAUUCAUGCUCCCCUUGCAUUGCCAUAAACGUCCUACAUCAGACCGUUGAGGAUGCUGGUUGUGAGGAGGAGAUCCAGGAAUCAAAAUGAAAGUGGUAUCGAUUGCGAUAAUGACCCUUCUUGCCAUUCAUCAAGGCUCUUCCUUGAGCCUUCCUUGUUUAGAGGAUUCAUACGUGGACUCCAAGCUCUCAAAUAAAGGUUACGUCCGAGCAGC